This is a ribosomal RNA of 2884 nucleotides. It matches the Rfam family "Bacterial large subunit ribosomal RNA".
GAAAGGGCGUACGGUGGAUGCCUAGGCACUUGAAACUGAAGAAGGACGCAACAAACGGCGAAACGCGGCGGGGAGCUGUACGUAAGCAAAGAUCCGCCGGUAUCCGAAUGGGGGAACCCGGCAUGCGUAAUAGCAUGUCAUCCGCAGAUGAACAAAUAGUCUGCGAGAGAGGUACCCGGGGAACUGAAACAUCUAAGUACCCGGAGGAAAAGAAAACAACAGUGAUUCCCUGAGUAGCGGCGAGCGAAAGGGGAGGAGCCCAAACCAGACCGAGGUCUGGGGUUGAAGGACCGCGAUACGGCAAGAAUCAUGGUAGGAGAACGGCAUUGAAAGGCCGACCGGAGAGGGUGCAAGUCCCGUAUCCGAAACCGUGAGGAAGCCCAGCGGGAUCCUGAGUACGGCGAGACACGAGAAAUCUUGUCGGAAGCAGGCGGGACCAUCCGUCAAGGCUAAAUAUAAGCAAGUGACCGAUAGUGAACCAGUACCGUGAGGGAAAGGUGAAAAGAACCGCGGGAGCGGAGUGAAACAGAACCUGAAACCGUAUGCUUACAAGAAGUCAGAGCACGUUAAGGUGUGAUGGCGUGCCUUUUGUAGAAUGAACCGGCGAGUUAUGUUAUCGUGCGAGGUUAAGCAGGAGAUGCGGAGCCGAAGCGAAAGCGAGUCUUAAUAGGGCGGCAGUACGAUGACAUAGACCCGAAACCGUGUGAUCUAGCCAUGACCAGGUUGAAGUUCAGGUGAAACUGAAUGGAGGACCGAACCGACCCCCGUUGAAAAGUUGGCGGAUGAGUUGUGGCUAGGGGAGAAAUUCCAAUCGAACACGGAUAUAGCUGGUUCUCCCCGAAAUAGCUUUAGGGCUAGCGUCGAGGAUGAGUCUUGUGGAGGUAGAGCACUGAAUGUACGAUGGCCCCAUCCCGGGGUACUGAGUAUAAUCAAACUCCGAAUGCCAUGAGAUAUUCCCGGCAGUCAGACCGUGGGUGAUAAGGUCCAUGGUCAAAAGGGAAACAGCCCAGACCGCCAGUUAAGGUCCCAAAAUGUAUGCUAAGUGGAAAAGGAUGUGGGGAUGCACAGACAACUAGGAGGUUGGCUCAGAAGCAGCCAUCCUUCAAAGAGUGCGUAACAGCUCACUAGUCGAGUGACCCUGCGCCGAAAAUGUACCGGGGCUAAGCAUACUACCGAAGCUGCGGAUUUGUAGUAAUACAAGUGGUAGGGGAGCGUUCCAUGCACGUGGAAGCCAUACCGAAAGGAGUGGUGGAGAGCAUGGAAGUGAGAAUGCCGGUGUGAGUAGCGAGAUGCAGGUGAGAAUCCUGCACACCGAUAGCCCAAGGAUUCCAGGGGAAGGUUCGUCCGCCCUGGGUAAGUCGGGACCUAAGGCGAGGCCGAAAGGCGUAGUCGAUGGAAAACAGGCAGAUAUUCCUGUACCCGCGAUGGAAAUGAAGGAAUGACGGAGAAGGCUAGCAUGAGCCACUUAUUGGAUUGUGGUCGAAGCGAAUAGCAGGUGCAUAGUAAAAUGCGUGCACGGGAUGUAAAACGUGACAGGUAAGCGAAACCUUUGGGGAGUAGCGAAGCAUGCGAGGCCAGCUUCCAGGAAAAGUUUCUAGUGCUGAUUCCAUAGCGGCCCGUACCAAAACCGACACAGGUGGGCAAGGAGAGUAUCCUGAGGUGAGCGAGAGAACUGUUGCCAAGGAACUCGGCAAAAUGACUCCGUAAGUUAGCGAGAAGGAGUGCUUAUGAAAGUAAGCCGCAGUGAAGAGGCCCAAGCGACUGUUUAACUAAAACACAGCUCUCUGCGAAGUCGCAAGACGAAGUAUAGGGGGUGACGCCUGCCCGGUGCUGGAAGGUUAAGAGGAUUUGUCAGUUUCGACGAAGCAAUGAAUUGAAGCCCCAGUGAACGGCGGCCGUAACUAUAACGGUCCUAAGGUAGCGAAAUUCCUUGUCAGGUAAGUUCUGACCCGCACGAAAGGCGUAACGAUUUGGGCGCUGUCUCGGCAGCAGACUCGGUGAAAUCUUAGUACCUGUGAAAAUGCAGGUUACCCGCAACUAGACGGAAAGACCCCAUGGAGCUUUACUGCAGCCUGAUAUUGGAUUUUGAUCAGAGAUGUACAGGAUAGGUGGGAGACGAAGAAGGAUGCACGCCAGUGUAUCUGGAGUCGACGUUGGGAUACCACUCUUGUCUGAUUGGAGUUCUAACCUGCGUCCAUGAAGCUGGACGGGGGACCGUGUCAGGCAGGCAGUUUGACUGGGGCGGUCGCCUCCCAAAGAGUAACGGAGGCGCCCAAAGGUACGCUCAGAUUGGACGGAAAUCAAUCGGCGAGUGCAAAUGCAGAAGCGUGCUUGACUGUGAGACAAACAGGUCGAACAGGGACGAAAGUCGGGAUUAGUGAUCCGGCGGUGCCGAAUGGAAGGGCCGUCGCUCAACGGAUAAAAGCUACCCUGGGGAUAACAGGCUGAUCUCGCCCAAGAGUUCACAUCGACGGCGAGGUUUGGCACCUCGAUGUCGGCUCAUCGCAUCCUGGAGCUGAAUUCGGUUCCAAGGGUUGGGCUGUCCGCCCAUUAAAGCGGUACGCGAGCUGGGUUCAGAACGUCGUGAGACAGUUCGGUCCCUAUCUGUUGUGGGCGUAGGAGAUUUGAGGAGAGCUGUCCUUAGUACGAGAGGACCGGGAUGGACCUACCGCUGGUGCACCGGUUGUUGUGCCAACAGCAUAGCCGGGUAGCUAAGUAGGGAAGGGAUAAGCGCUGAAAGCAUCUAAGCGCGAAGCCUACUCCAAGAUGAGAUCUCCCAUACGCAAGUAGUAAGACCCCUUGAAGACGACGAGGUUGAUAGGUCAGGGAUGGAAGCGUAGCGAUACGUGCAGUUGACUGAUACUAAUAGGUCGAGGACUUAAUC